This is a long non-coding RNA of Cololabis saira (Pacific saury), 793 nucleotides long. RefSeq lists it as uncharacterized. Lineage: Eukaryota; Metazoa; Chordata; Actinopteri; Beloniformes; Belonidae. The record is from RefSeq and is a predicted model, not a curated record. The transcript is spliced from 2 exons.
CUGUAGCCUAGCCUUUCUAUGCUCCGCCAAUCGUAUGAAACAUUACACAGGGUUCCCUACAUCCCGGCUUGUGAUUGGCUCUCUGUCCGUGUUCCUUCUUUUCAUUGGCUAUAAACCCGGACACUACCACCUCGCACACGGCACAACAACAAAGGCAACAGUUGUUCGCGUUGUAGUUUUCUAUUGUCGCUACUCGCUAAUUCGCUUUACAAACUUUAAUAACUUGAACGAGAGAUCCAUUGAUGUUAGCGAGAGCUAUGGAACCGAACCAGGCAGCAGCAUGUCCGACACGGAGGAGCAGGAGAUUAGUGUUAGUGACGCCGACACGCCGGUAAACGCUGAAGACUCCAGCUCCCUGCCGGAGGACGACUCUGAGCCCGAGCCUGAACGGGACGAGGUCGAGGAGGACGACCAACCAGCCACUGCAGCUAGUGCCCAGAACGACCAUCCAUGGCCCUACUUGCAGCACUACCUGCAGAGAACACUACCUUCUCUCACCUUUGUUUCAGACAGAAAGUGUACAGUUACUUUCCUGUGCUGUUUUUUUUUUUGUUCCCCUUUCCAUCUCUCCCCUAUAUUUGAAAGGAAUGUUUUUGGUACUAAACAUUUGCAGUAAGUAGACUAUAAGCUACAUCUUGUAUGAUGCUACAUUCCUGUAGGCUACUUGCUCUGUUGUGGUUUUGUUCUCGGUUCCACUUAUUUUGUUGUCUCUCCCUGAGUGAACCAAAGCAAAUUUCAAUCAACUGUUGUUGAGAAACUAUGUUGAAAUGGCAAUAAAUUCUUGAAUAUUGAA